AACGAACGCUGGCGGCGUGCCUAACACAUGCAAGUCGAGCGAGAAAGCGGCUUCGGCCGUGAGUAAAGCGGCGCACGGGUGAGUAACACGUAGGCAAUCUUCCAUUGGGAUUGGGAUAACCUGCCGAAAGGCGGGCUAAUACCGGAUACGUUCCCUGGGACUUCGGUCUUGGGGAAGAAAGAGUGCUCCGCAAGGGGUAUUGCCCGAUGAUGAGCCUGCGUCCCAUCAGGUAGUUGGUGAGGUAACGGCUCACCAAGCCGAGGACGGGUAGCUGGUCUGAGAGGAUGAUCAGCCACACUGGAACUGAGACACGGUCCAGACUCCUACGGGAGGCAGCAGUGGGGAAUUUUGGUCAAUGGGCGCAAGCCUGAACCAGCAACGCCGCGUGGGUGAUGAAGGCC
Molecule: ribosomal RNA, 401 nt
Filed under: uncultured bacterium
Lineage: Bacteria
Description: bacterial SSU rRNA
Rfam family: Bacterial small subunit ribosomal RNA
Source: RNAcentral